GACGAACGCUGGCGGCGUGCUUAACACAUGCAAGUCGAACGGAAGGGCCCUGCUUUUGUGGGGUGCUAGAGUGGCGAACGGGUGAGUAACACGUGAGUAACCUGCCCUUGACUGUGGGAUAACUUCAGGAGACUGGGGCUAAUACCGGAUAGGAGCUGCUGCUGCAUGGGGGGGGUUGGAAAGCUUCGGCGGUUGGGGGUGGACUCGCGGCUUAUCAGCUUGUUGGUGGAGUAGUGGCUUACGAAGGCUUCGACGGGUAGCCGGCCUUAGAGGGUAACCAGGCUCCUUACUCCUGCGAGACGGCCCAGACUCCUACGUUAGGCAGCAGUGGGGAAUAUUGCCCAGUGGUCCGACGCCUGAUGCAGCAGUGUCGCGUUCGUGAUGCCCGUCUUCGUGUUGUAAACCGCUUUCGCCUGUUACGAAGCUUGAGUGACGGUAAUGGGUAAAGAAGCACCGGCUAACUACGUG
RNAcentral lists this ribosomal RNA (468 nucleotides) under uncultured bacterium. Its description in RNAcentral is "partial 16S ribosomal RNA". It matches the Rfam family "Bacterial small subunit ribosomal RNA", at positions 28 to 507 of the family's 1533-position model. The record is from RNAcentral.